AUCUUCCUCAGAAGACGUGCAGGAAGAGAGUGUGGCUGGGAACCAAGUGUCAGAUGGAGCUGUGAGGCAGAUGUCGUCAAACACAGUUACUGCUGUGCCAAAUGGAAUGAGAGAAAAUCCCCUGGAGGAACCUCAUCUUGGAUUGUGAAUUAGACGGAAUCCCCAGUGUUGUCUUCAAGUAUUAAACCAUGCACAGAUGUGUAAGCAAGACUGUGAGAAGAGGAUAAAGAACACAGAGCAUAUCAGAGUUUGGAGUAAAGAAGGAAUGAAGUGUUCUAUUUCAGGAUGAGAUCUAAUGCCCCUGAAGACUUAGAAACUGAGAGGCAAGUAUGUUGAGUGACAAUUG
RNAcentral lists this long non-coding RNA (346 nucleotides) under Fukomys damarensis (Damara mole-rat). Its description in RNAcentral is "lncRNA (ENSFDAG00000028731.1)". Lineage: Eukaryota; Metazoa; Chordata; Mammalia; Rodentia; Bathyergidae. The record is from RNAcentral.